RNAcentral lists this non-coding RNA (25 nucleotides) under Mus musculus (house mouse). Lineage: Eukaryota; Metazoa; Chordata; Mammalia; Rodentia; Muridae. The record is from RNAcentral.
UAGCAGGAUACUGAAUCAGGAGAGG